UACGUAGGGGGCAAGCGUUGUCCGGAAUUAUUGGGCGUAAAGCGCGCGCAGGCGGUCUCUUAAGUCUGAUGUGAAAGCCCACGGCUCAACCGUGGAGGGUCAUUGGAAACUGGGGAACUUGAGGGCUGGAGAGGAAAGUGGAAUUCCACGUGUAGCGGUGAAAUGCGUAGAUAUGUGGAGGAACACCAGUGGCGAAGGCGACUUGCUGGCCUACAACUGACGCUGAGGUGCGAAAGCGUGGGGAGCAAACAGG
This 253-nucleotide unclassified non-coding RNA is filed under the name uncultured Sporolactobacillaceae bacterium. RNAcentral's name for it is "contains 16S-23S intergenic spacer region". It matches the Rfam family "Bacterial small subunit ribosomal RNA", at positions 524 to 776 of the family's 1533-position model. Lineage: Bacteria; Bacillati; Bacillota; Bacilli; Caryophanales; Sporolactobacillaceae. The record is from RNAcentral.